Molecule: long non-coding RNA, 395 nt
Organism: Mobula hypostoma (lesser devil ray)
Lineage: Eukaryota; Metazoa; Chordata; Chondrichthyes; Myliobatiformes; Myliobatidae
Exons: 3
Source: RefSeq, a predicted model, not a curated record
GUCAUACUACUGUGUUCAUUCCCAAAUUAGCUUUAAACUUGCUUCUGCUAAUGUGUUUGAAAAUGUCAAGAGGCACCUUUCAGUUCAUCAUCAGGCAUUUAUUUUUGGAUUUAAAUCCUGAGGUCGAGUUGCGAUCUCGACACUCAACCCAGCACGGAUGGAAAGCGUACUCGGGAGUGGACCCGACUAGUUUCGAACCCGGGAACCUCCGCUCCCGGGGCUGGCGCCGAUGUCGUUGCGCCACCAGCUGGCCCAAACUUUGUUCUACUUGAUCUGCAAAAUAUUUUCAGAAUUUUCAGAUUCCCAGCAUCCACAGUAUCUUGUUUGUGUACUGAACCUUUUCAUUAUAUCUACCUGACAAGCUAUACUGUGAAAGUCAACUUUAAUUAAAUCUA